UGCACCACUGGUGAUGCAGAACUGCGCACACUAUCCGUGGUGAUUGGCUCACGUAUGAGGUCGGAAGAAAAAAAAAUUCUGGCACCACACCCUGGCUCCACGCAUGAGCCAAUCAUCACGGACGGUGCACCUGUGGUGCACAAAAAAUUUUUCAUUGGUGGUAGGACUAGAAGUGGGUCCAGGCUAGAGUGAGGCUCGUCGGGCUGGGCCUAAUGCGCGCACCGCCUGUGGUUCACAAAGAAUUUCUCAUUGAUGGUAGGACUAGAAGUGGGUCCAGACUAGAGUGAGGCUUGUCGGGCUGGGCCACAGCCUAAACCGUAGUAAAUUUGGAUCUGGUUUGGAGUUAAAUUUGAACCAUAGACAUUUGGGUUCAUGCAGACUCAUCUGAUUGAACCUUCAAGUAGGGUCGCUCUAGACACCACGCUCUAGGCUCAAAUCAUAAGUUCUUGUCCCCAUUUAAAGGUUUUGUGAAAAUCCCAAAAUCAAAACAACUAAUUGAUAGAUUUGUCUAACCUAUUUAAAACUCGGGCU
This 531-nucleotide long non-coding RNA is filed under the name Elaeis guineensis (African oil palm). RNAcentral describes it as "long non-coding RNA (EGUI_LNC001119)". The record is from RNAcentral. Lineage: Eukaryota; Viridiplantae; Streptophyta; Magnoliopsida; Arecales; Arecaceae.